AUUGAACGCUGGCGGCAGGCUUAACACAUGCAAGUCGAGCGGGGGAAGGUAGCUUGCUACCGGACCUAGCGGCGGACGGGUGAGUAAUGCUUAGGAAUCUGCCUAUUAGUGGGGGACAACAUCUCGAAAGGGAUGCUAAUACCGCAUGCGUCCUACGGGAGAAAGCAGGGGAUCUUCGGACCUUGCGCUAAUAGAUGAGCCUAAGUCGGAUUAGCUAGUUGGUGGGGUAAAGGCCUACCAAGGCGACGAUUUGUAGCGGGUCUGAGAGGAUGAGCCGCCACACUGGGACUGAGACACGGCCCAGACUCAUACGGGAGGCAGCAGUGGGGAGUAUUGGACAAUGGGGGGAACCCUGAUCCAGCCAUGCCGCGUGUGUGAAGAAGGCCUUAUGGUUGUAAAGCACUUUAAGCGAGGAGGAGGCUACUCUAGUUAAUACCUAGGGAUAGUGGACGUUACUCGCAGAAUAAGCACCGGCUAACUCUGUGCCAGCAGCCGCGGUAA
RNAcentral lists this ribosomal RNA (501 nucleotides) under uncultured bacterium. RNAcentral describes it as "partial 16S ribosomal RNA". It matches the Rfam family "Bacterial small subunit ribosomal RNA", at positions 30 to 523 of the family's 1533-position model. The record is from RNAcentral.